GGGCUGUUCAUAUUCAAAUCUAUCAAAAUUAAAACCUUAAACCUGAAUUUUUGAUAUUUUUUUUAAAAUCAAACUAAACCAAACUGAGGAUAUUGGAAUUGGCUUUGUGCAUCUACAAUGGGUAAGGGAACUGGAAGUUUCGGUAAGAGAAGGAACAAGACCCACACACUCUGUAUCAGGUGCGGUUGCCGCAGUUUCCAUCUCCAGAAGAGUAGAUGCUCUGCUUGUGCUUACCCUCCGUACUGGAAUUGGUACGAUGAGGUACUUGUGUAACGUUCCUCGUCGAUUCAAGAGCGGUUUCAGAGAGGGAACUGAAGCUGCACCUAGGAAGAAGGGAGUUGCGUCUGCUUAAGCAUUUUGAACAUUGUUGUUUUGUUGGGUACUGAGUUUAUUUAUAGAAUUAGUUUGUUGUUUGUGAUUGGGGCAAGGUUUUUAGAACUAU
Molecule: long non-coding RNA, 442 nt
Filed under: Medicago truncatula (barrel medic)
Lineage: Eukaryota; Viridiplantae; Streptophyta; Magnoliopsida; Fabales; Fabaceae
Description: lncRNA gene22089
Source: RNAcentral